UUCAAACAAAUAAUACAGUGAAGUUGAGUUCUCAUCUCUCUGGGUGGGGAAUUGCGUGUAUAAAUCUCCACAUCCAGCCUCAUUUCUUCCCCCCCCCCCCCCCAGUGAGAAGAGAAGUUACUCUUGGGCUUGAUUAUUUCAUAACAGAUAAAAAUGCUCUCAUUUACAGCUAAUAGCUGCAGACUAAAGAAAAUAUGAAUAUUAUUUUCAGUCAGAUAGCCAAGACAUGGGUAAGACCUUAUCCUAUCCUGACUUGGCAGCAAAGGUGUAGCCACUUUACUCUCUCCUUGUUUUCAUCAUCCUGUUGCUGAGGCAAGUGUGAAUCCUGUGCACUGGUUGCGGAGAGUUUUCUCUAGUGGUACCCAUACCCAUGAGGCGCCCCUGCCCAUCCCCAAGAGCCUAAUGCUUCAAAGGGAGGAUACACAGGUGAAGCUGCCCUGCCCCGCCUUCACGCCAAAAGCUGAUGGUGAACUCUGAUGCAUCAGGGAAGGAUUUGGUAAUGGACCCAACCAACAUAUCUCAAAGAAUAAUAGUUACAAGAAGUUUCAGGCCCAGGAUGUUGAACAGACACAGUUUGAUGGACAGCAGCCUGUUCUUGGGAUCUGGAGUGACCAUGAACCAAUCAUCCAGAAGAAACUGUCUGCAUUCCUCCCUCACCUCUUGGAACUAUGGGUACCUGUCUUGGACUCAGUCCCCUGAAGCUGUGACAUUAAACAUUUGUUGAGGGAACCCAUUUUGAUAAAGCUUGACAGGUUCUGAAUUCAAUCAAAAAUUCUCCACCCUGAGACCUGGGAAAAUACAAGAAAGAAAAUCACUCUAUCAGCACUGACAAUAAUUGGUGAGACAUUCGAAAUAUUGUAAACCAGACACAUCUAAGCGCUGUUUGUAAAGUGGAGUGGUGAUCCUGAGGUGAAAAUGCCCAUGGCAAGAAAAAGAAACUGGUUUCACAAUAUUUAAUUUUACCAGGAGGAUAUGACACCCUUUUAUGCAGCAAAAUGUAUGCAAGUUACUCUACAUUUACCUUUCAUGUGGCUGCUUUUAAAAAGGCAAUAUGUACAUACAUGUGUGUGUACAAACACUGCAGGAUGCCUUCAAAACAUCAUUGGUGACCUUUGAUUGGUGGCCCUGUUCAACUCUUCCAGUCAGCCAUUUCAUGUGAAUUCCCUUUGAUCAAGAAGGGAUCUAUCUGGUUCUUUCCGGCUGAUUUCUAGGGUGAUCAGAUAGCAAGUGUGAAAAAUCGGGAUGGGGGUGGUGUGUGUGGGGGGUAAUAGGCACCGAUAUAAGAAAAAGCCCCUAUAAAAUCGGGACAUCUGGUCACCCUACUGAUUUCCAGCCAGAGAGGAACAUAACAGCAAAAUGUUGACUUGGUCACUUCUAACAUUCCCGCCUUCUAGUUAGACAAAGAGAAAAAAUCUCAAAAACACAAUUUAGGAUAUCUGGGCAAGCCCCUCAAUAUACAGAAUAAAACAUGCUGUGUUGCUGAAGAAAACAACAACUGUCAUAUAAAUGCAAUGAGGCCUGAACGGUCAGACUCUGUUCCUGAGAGGAAGGAAGCACAGCAUGCCUAAAUUAGGCACGCCAGAUACCAAAGAAACAGAAUGACUCCUUUCUUCAAACAACUGCAAUUGUGAACCAGAGAGGAUAUGCUAGGUCCCAUCAGAUAGCCAUAUUAUUAUUAUCAUCAUCUAACUGAUAUAGUGGAGGCUAUUUUCAGAUCUAUCAAGCUCUGCAAGUCCAGAUUUAUUUUAUGUUCUUUCAGUGUGUGUGUGUGUGUGUGUGUGUGUGUGUGUGUGUGUGUGUGUGUGUGUGUGUAAUACAUUGACAGCUCUGAAGUUUGAAAUCCAUUGUUUAUCUACAGACAAGAGCAACAAGGGCAGCAGCUUUACAAACUUCUCCUUGUAGUUUUACCAAUGUCUCUCUUGACAUUAAGAGAUCACAGUUACAAGGAAAGGGUAACUCAGUUUCCAUUAAAGAUGAGCUCAAACCAAACCCCCAGCUUCAAACAUGUCACACUUUAAGGAAGUUCAAAUCUCUCUUCCACCUUAAUAGCUUGAUCCCAACUUUAACUUCUAAAUCUAUUCAAUCCUUAUCUUCUCUUCCUGACCUACAAGAUGAGAGCCAAAAUAGUGCUACAUGCUAGACACCUGUGUACUAUGAACUGGGCUGAGACCAUUAAUUCCACAAUAUGGUGAUCAGCUGAAUUAUUGUUACUCGUGUAUUGGGUAGGAUUUGAAAGCCUAUGUAUCUAAUUACCACCCCCAUCCACUAUAGUUUCCCUCCACUGCCUUUACAAAAAUAAGGUGUGCUUAUCUUACAGAGAUGUUAGACCAGGAGUCUGGGUGUUAAGUGACCUCAGUUUUUAUUCCUAGGUCUGCAUCUCAACUAUUUUUGCUCUAGAAAAGCCACUAACUCUUUCAGUCCACCCAGUUUCCUGUUCUGUAAAAUGGGGUUAAUAAUUCUUAUCUAUAUAGUAGAUACAUUGUGAGAUUCCAUUAAUGUUUCUAAUGUGCUUUGUGAGCCUGAGAAAAAAGGAGCUAUUGAAUAACUGAUAAUUAUUAUUUUAUUUUUCAAUAUGUAUAAAUAUCUAUACAAUUGUACAUUAUAUUGUCUUGGAGGAAAUACGAUUCCUGUUCUCUCAAGAGCAUGAUUAAUUUACCUGCAAGUCAUCUUGUUUCCAUUUAAGCAAAAAGUGAUUUAUUUUCCAAGUUUGCCAACUCACGCAGGUCAUGACACUAUUCAGUAACAAUUGCAUUUUUGGCCAAUUCCCAUUUUUGUAGUACAAUCCCUCUAGCAAUUGUCAUUGGUUUUAGGAUUUUUUUUGUGCACUUCAUUAAGAUCCCUACAGACUCCAAACAUUAGAAUUUUAGAAAACAAGCAGAGAUUGUUAUCCUUUGAUAACGUUCUAGUCUAUUGCCAUUAUCUUGUAAUUAAAAGUCACUGAUAAAAUGAUUGUUAACUAAUCAGAUUAUUGUAUUUUCAAACUCAUUUUAACAUAACCUUUAAUGAAGGGACCCUGCGAGCUAAAAGAAAAUUACAUUUCUUGUGUCAUGAAUGAAAUUCAGACACUCCAACUAUAUCAUUCUUGUCACUUAUUUGUUCAAGAAAAGGCAGAGAAUAAAAUUAUUAGUUUUCAAUAUCUCUGUUGCACAUAGAUUUUAAAAUUUCAAUACAAAAUUGGCAAAGGAAACAGAUCCUAUUUGAUAAAGUAAAUAUCAGAAACAUAUUUCUCCCAGAUAAUAUUCACUACCAGUUUAAGAUCAGUUUAGACUGAAUCUACCCUAAUAAUUCUCCUCUUUCCUUUUGUUGCAAAGGAGAUAAUGACCAGGAACGAGUAGCUGUUCAUAUUCUCACUAACACAUAAAAUGCAAGUCCUUGAAAAAAAAAUAGUUCCCAACUCCUGAUACAUGAUUACUCUUGCAUUUUAAAGAUGUGAAUCAAGGAUAGCAUUAUAUUGAACCUGUUCAAAAUAUUAACUCUCUGAAAAUAAUCAGCUGCUGAAUACUCUGGAAUAUCUAUGCCAAAGUAAGGUCACAGUUCAGAAAAAGAAUUCUAAGAGUACUUCAGGCAAUCUGUGAUUAAGUUUAGAUUUAGGCAUCCACUCAGGUAAUGCAGCCAUUUUUCACUCUUUUUGGAAGUACCUAGGGGUAUAUUGUAGCUCUCAGAGAAAAGAGCAAACAAAAAACAACCAGGAUUAUACAAUAGUUGUCAGAGUUCCAAAUUCUUUCAAUUUUUAUAGAUACAGUCAUGGUACAGGUUACUACCUCAGAACUCAAGAUUCUGUUCCUGGCUCUAACACAAACUUGCUAUAUUAUCAUUCACAGGCCAUUUACAAUUUUUUACUCUCCUAGAUCUCCACCUUCCCAUCCCAGUCUGGCAAAUGGAAUCAGAAACUGCCUUGGUCAAAGGUGUAUUUUGGCAAGGAAUGCAGAUAAUGAAAUUUCCUUUCACUCUUGAAAAAAAUAGCCCUGCACUGGUAAGCGGUACACAAAGAAAAUAUUCUCCAUCACCAGGUAUUUUUUAUCCACUAGUUUCAUGGCUAAUCAUUUCUAGUUUUCACAUGUCAAUUUGUGAAAUAUUUUCUAUUCCUUGGAAAACUGCUUCUCCUAUAAGCCAGUGCAAUCUUUUGUGAUGUCAUGUGAUUUUGCUGGUGAGACAGAUGGAGACACAGAAAUACAUACCAAAAAUGUCAGAAGGACACAUUUAAGUCUAUCUCAAAAACUUCUUAAAUCAAUUCAGUUGAGAGAACAUUCCAGCUAUCAAUGUGACUGAACCUUAAACAUUUGAAAGUAUUAGUGUUAAAAGAAGGCUGCAAAACAGCCCAAAUAUGGAGAUACUACCCCUUCUGCACAAUAUACCUCAUAGACUUUCUACCCUGAGUAAUCCAUGCUCCCAUACAGUGUAUGGUUCUUUCUCCCUCACAAAUGACUGGACCCUGGAGAUUUGAGUCUGCUAUAAUCUUUGAGCUAACAGACUUGGAGCUUCUAGUUGAAGCAAUAGAACCAGCAGUCCCAGGUUCAGCACCUAUUUCUAAUGUGCACUGCUGGGGUAUCAUUGGAACUGUUUCUACAGCUCCCCAAGGCACAGAUCUCUGCCAGUUAAAAUAAAGGAAGCUGCCAACUGUAGUAGGACAACAAGCUGUAACCAGGCAAUAGGGUGCAACAUGCUCACACAUGCACAUAUAGAUUCAGAGCCCAUUGAGAUCGACAAGAGUUGUUCCACUGACAUCCUUGGGUUUUAAAUCAGGCCCAUAGUGCCUGCUUCCUCUCCCACUGAAGUCAGUGGGGAAAGGAAAAAAAAUCAAUAGGACAGAGUUAGACCCAUUUUUUUUCUUCAAAUAUAGCUGGUGCAAUAAUUUUACUACAUGGAAGUGGUAACAAGCCUUUUUGGAGACUAAGUGAGACAAAAUCAUUUCAGACAAAAGUCAGAUUGGUCAAAUUCUUUAAUUGAUUUAUAAUUUUAAAACAGUUUGAAUUUUCCUCAAACUGUGCAAUACAGAUUAACCUUUGUGUUCAGAGUAAAUUGGUAAUUUUCAAGCCAACACAAUUUUUCAAAUCAAAGUGGCAGGGGGUCUCGCAACCUAAUUAUGGACAGGCUACCUCUUCUCCAUGGUACAUACAUGCACACACACUUACAGCUUUUCUACUCAGAAUCUCACUAGUUUAAUCAAAGGCUUGAAUUUUAGUUUAAAAGAAAGAGUGAUGUUUUGGUUUAACUUAAACCUGUCUCUGACUUCUGCUAAACCAAAAUAAACCCCUCAAACCGAUAUAGAUUUGUAGACUCUGAUUCCAAAUAGGACCAUCGUCAUCUAGUCUGACUUCCUGUAGAACGCAGGUAGAACUUCCUCAAAAUAAUAUCUAGAGCAUUUCAGACAAACAUCCUAUCUUGAUUUAAAAUUUGCCAGUGAUGGAGAAUCCACCUUGACACUUAGUAAAUUGUUCCAGUGGUUAAUUAUUCUCACAGUUAAAUACGUAUGCCUCAUUUUCAGUCCGAACUUGUCUAGUAUCAACUUCCAGCCCGUGGAUCAUGUUACACCUUUCUCUGCUAGAUUGAAGAGCCCAUUAUUAAGCAUCUGUCCCCAUGUAGAUAUGUAUAGACUAUAAUCAAAUCACCCCUUAACCUUCUCUUUGUUAAGCUAAAUAGAUUGAGCCUCUGGAGUCUAUCACUCUCUAAGGUAUGUUUUCUAAUCCUUUAACCGUACUUAAGGCUCCUUUCUGAACACUCUCCAAUUUAUCAACAUCCUUCUUGAAUUGUGGGCACCAGAACUGGAAACCCUAUUCAAGCUGUGGUUACCCAUUGCCCAAUACAGAGGUAAAAUAACCUCUCUACUCUCAAAAUUCCCAUUUAUGCAUCUCAGGAUC
Long non-coding RNA from Trachemys scripta elegans, 5858 nucleotides. RefSeq lists it as uncharacterized. The record is from RefSeq and is a predicted model, not a curated record. The transcript has 9 exons. Lineage: Eukaryota; Metazoa; Chordata; Testudines; Emydidae.